UACGGAGGGUGCGAGCGUUGUCCGGAAUCAUUGGGCGUAAAGGGCGCGUAGGUGGCCCGGUCAGUCCGUGGUGAAAGCGCGGGGCUCAACCCCGCGUCGGCCAUGGAUACUGCUGGGCUUGAGCACUGUAGAGGCAGGCGGAAUUCCGGGUGUAGCGGUGGAAUGCGUAGAGAUCCGGAAGAACACCGGUGGCGAAGGCGGGUCUCUGGGCCGAUACUGACGCUGAGGAGCGAAAGCGUGGGGAGCGAACAGG
This 253-nucleotide ribosomal RNA is filed under the name uncultured bacterium. Its description in RNAcentral is "partial 16S ribosomal RNA". It matches the Rfam family "Bacterial small subunit ribosomal RNA", at positions 524 to 776 of the family's 1533-position model. The record is from RNAcentral.